GGGUUGUGAGGUUAAGCGACUAAGCGUACACGGUGGAUGCCCUGGCAGUCAGAGGCGAUGAAGGGCGUGCUAAUCUGCGAUAAGCGCCGGUAAGGUGAUAUGAACCGUUAUAACCGGCGAUACCCGAAUGGGGAAACCCAGUGUGAUUCGUCACACUAUCAUUAACUGAAUCCAUAGGUUAAUGAGGCGAACCGGGGGAACUGAAACAUCUAAGUACCCCGAGGAAAAGAAAUCAACCGAGAUUCCCCCAGUAGCGGCGAGCGAACGGGGAGGAGCCCAGAGCCUGAAUCAGCAUGUGUGUUAGUGGAAGCGUCUGGAAAGGCGCGCGAUACAGGGUGACAGCCCCGUACACAAAAGCGCAUGUGCUGUGAGCUCGAUGAGUAGGGCGGGACACGUGGUAUCCUGUCUGAAUAUGGGGGGACCAUCCUCCAAGGCUAAAUACUCCUGACUGACCGAUAGUGAACCAGUACCGUGAGGGAAAGGCGAAAAGAACCCCGGCGAGGGGAGUGAAAAAGAACCUGAAACCGUGUACGUACAAGCAGUGGGAGCNNGGGCGUUAAGUUGCAGGGUAUAGACCCGAAACCCGGUGAUCUAGCCAUGGGCAGGUUGAAGGUUGGGUAACACUAACUGGAGGACCGAACCGACUAAUGUUGAAAAAUUAGCGGAUGACCUGUGGCUGGGGGUGAAAGGCCAAUCAAACCGGGAGAUAGCUGGUUCUCCCCGAAAGCUAUUUAGGUAGCGCCUCGUGAAUUCAUCUCCGGGGGUAGAGCACUGUUUCGGCUAGGGGGCCAUCCCGGCUUACCAACCCGAUGCAAACUGCGAAUACCGGAGAAUGUUAUCACGGGAGACACACGGCGGGUGCUAACGUCCGUCGUGAAGAGGGAAACAACCCAGACCGCCAGCUAAGGUCCCAAAGUCAUGGUUAAGUGGGAAACGAUGUGGGAAGGCCCAGACAGCCAGGAUGUUGGCUUAGAAGCAGCCAUCAUUUAAAGAAAGCGUAAUAGCUCACUGGUCGAGUCGGCCUGCGCGGAAGAUGUAACGGGGCUAAACCAUGCACCGAAGCUGCGGCAGCGANNUGCUGGAGGUAUCAGAAGUGCGAAUGCUGACAUAAGUAACGAUAAAGCGGGUGAAAAGCCCGCUCGCCGGAAGACCAAGGGUUCCUGUCCAACGUUAAUCGGGGCAGGGUGAGUCGACCCCUAAGGCGAGGCCGAAAGGCGUAGUCGAUGGGAAACGGGUUAAUAUUCCCGUACUUGGUGUUACUGCGAAGGGGGGACGGAGAAGGCUAUGUUGGCCGGGCGACGGUUGUCCCGGUUUAAGCGUGUAGGUGUGUGUUCCAGGUAAAUCCGGUUCACUUUAACACUGAGGCGUGACGACGAGGCACUACGGUGCUGAAGCAACAAAUGCCCUGCUUCCAGGAAAAGCCUCUAAGCAUCAGGUAACAUCAAAUCGUACCCCAAACCGACACAGGUGGUCAGGUAGAGAAUACCAAGGCGCUUGAGAGAACUCGGGUGAAGGAACUAGGCAAAAUGGUGCCGUAACUUCGGGAGAAGGCACGCUGACACGUAGGUGAAGUGAUUUACUCAUGGAGCUGAAGUCAGUCGAAGAUACCAGCUGGCUGCAACUGUUUAUUAAAAACACAGCACUGUGCAAACACGAAAGUGGACGUAUACGGUGUGACGCCUGCCCGGUGCCGGAAGGUUAAUUGAUGGGGUCAGCGCAAGCGAAGCUCCUGAUCGAAGCCCCGGUAAACGGCGGCCGUAACUAUAACGGUCCUAAGGUAGCGAAAUUCCUUGUCGGGUAAGUUCCGACCUGCACGAAUGGCGUAAUGAUGGCCAGGCUGUCUCCACCCGAGACUCAGUGAAAUUGAACUCGCUGUGAAGAUGCAGUGUACCCGCGGCAAGACGGAAAGACCCCGUGAACCUUUACUAUAGCUUGACACUGAACAUUGAGCCUUGAUGUGUAGGAUAGGUGGGAGGCUUUGAAGUGUGGACGCCAGUCUGCAUGGAGCCGACCUUGAAAUACCACCCUUUAAUGUUUGAUGUUCUAACGUGGACCCGUAAUCCGGGUUGCGGACAGUGUCUGGUGGGUAGUUUGACUGGGGCGGUCUCCUCCUAAAGAGUAACGGAGGAGCACGAAGGUUGGCUAAUCCUGGUCGGACAUCAGGAGGUUAGUGCAAUGGCAUAAGCCAGCUUGACUGCGAGCGUGACGGCGCGAGCAGGUGCGAAAGCAGGUCAUAGUGAUCCGGUGGUUCUGAAUGGAAGGGCCAUCGCUCAACGGAUAAAAGGUACUCCGGGGAUAACAGGCUGAUACCGCCCAAGAGUUCAUAUCGACGGCGGUGUUUGGCACCUCGAUGUCGGCUCAUCACAUCCUGGGGCUGAAGUAGGUCCCAAGGGUAUGGCUGUUCGCCAUUUAAAGUGGUACGCGAGCUGGGUUUAGAACGUCGUGAGACAGUUCGGUCCCUAUCUGCCGUGGGCGCUGGAGAACUGAGGGGGGCUGCUCCUAGUACGAGAGGACCGGAGUGGACGCAUCACUGGUGUUCGGGUUGUCAUGCCAAUGGCACUGCCCGGUAGCUAAAUGCGGAAGAGAUAAGUGCUGAAAGCAUCUAAGCACGAAACUUGCCCCGAGAUGAGUUCUCCCUGAGACUUAGAGUCUCCUGAAGGAACGUUGAAGACGACGACGUUGAUAGGCCGGGUGUGUAAGCGCAGCGAUGCGUUGAGCUAACCGGUACUAAUGAACCGUGAGGCUUAACCUUACAACGCCGAAG
RNAcentral lists this ribosomal RNA (2764 nucleotides) under Salmonella enterica subsp. enterica serovar Typhimurium. RNAcentral describes it as "23S ribosomal RNA". It matches the Rfam family "Bacterial large subunit ribosomal RNA". The record is from RNAcentral. Lineage: Bacteria; Pseudomonadati; Pseudomonadota; Gammaproteobacteria; Enterobacterales; Enterobacteriaceae.